This 422-nucleotide ribosomal RNA is filed under the name uncultured bacterium. RNAcentral describes it as "bacterial SSU rRNA". It matches the Rfam family "Bacterial small subunit ribosomal RNA", at positions 355 to 774 of the family's 1533-position model. The record is from RNAcentral.
UGAGGAAUAUUGGGCAAUGCCCGCAAGGGUGACCCAGCAACGCCGCGUGGAGGAUGAAUGUCGUAAGAUUGUAAACUCCUGUUAGAGGGGAAGAAUAGUACCGGUUGGACCGGUAUAUGACUGUACCCUCAGAGAUAGCCCCGGCUAACUACGUGCCAGCAGCCGCGGUAAUACGUAGGGGGCAAGCGUUGUCCGGAUUUACUGGGUGUAAAGGGCGCGCAGGCGGGAUAAAAAGUCAGUGGUGAAAUCCUACAGCUUAACUGUAGAACUGCCUUUGAUACUUUUAUUCUUGAGUUCGGGAGAGAGAGACGGAAUUCCAGGUGUAGUGGUGAAAUACGUAGAUAUCUGGAAGAACACCAGUUGCGAAGGCGGUCUCUUGGUCCGACACUGACGCUGAGGCGCGAAAGCGUGGGGAGCAAACA